Molecule: non-coding RNA, 29 nt
Filed under: Mus musculus (house mouse)
Lineage: Eukaryota; Metazoa; Chordata; Mammalia; Rodentia; Muridae
Source: RNAcentral
UCACACUUGAUCGUUUCAAGAAGCCUUGU